RNAcentral lists this ribosomal RNA (731 nucleotides) under Flavobacterium movens. Its description in RNAcentral is "bacterial SSU rRNA". It matches the Rfam family "Bacterial small subunit ribosomal RNA", at positions 18 to 754 of the family's 1533-position model. The record is from RNAcentral. Lineage: Bacteria; Pseudomonadati; Bacteroidota; Flavobacteriia; Flavobacteriales; Flavobacteriaceae.
CCUGGCUCAGGAUAACGCUAGCGGGAGGCUUAACACAUGCAAGCCGAGGGGUAGAAUUAGCUUGCUAAUUUGAGACCGGCGCACGGGUGCGUAACGCGUAUGCAACUUGCCCUACUGAAAAGGAUAGCCCAGAGAAAUUUGGAUUAAUACUUUAUAAUAGACUGAAUGGCAUCAUUUAGUUUUGAAAGAUUUAUCGCAGUAGGAUAGGCAUGCGUAAGAUUAGAUAGUUGGUGAGGUAACGGCUCACCAAGUCGACGAUCUUUAGGGGGCCUGAGAGGGUGACCCCCACACUGGUACUGAGACACGGACCAGACUCCUACGGGAGGCAGCAGUGAGGAAUAUUGGACAAUGGGUGGAAGCCUGAUCCAGCCAUCCCGCGUGUAGGAUGACGGCCUUAUGGGUUGUAAACUACUUUUAUCUGGGGAUAAACCUACUUACGUGUAAGUAGCUGAAGGUACCAGAAGAAUAAGCACCGGCUAACUCCGUGCCAGCAGCCGCGGUAAUACGGAGGGUGCAGCGUUAUCCGGAUUUAUUGGGUUUAAAGGGUCCGUAGGCGGACUGAUCUCAGUGGUGAAAUCCUAUCGCUUAACGAUAGAACUGCCAUUGAUACUGUUAGUCUUGAAUUAGUUUGAAGUGGCUGGAAUGUGUAGUGUAGCGGUGAAAUGCUUAGAUAUUACGCAGAACACCAAUUGCGAAGGCAGGUCACUAAGUCUAUAUUGACGCUGAUGGAC